UGAUGAAUGACAGGCCGAGUGGUUAUGGCGCUAGUUUCAGGCAGUGUAAACUGUGCCGAAGACAGGAAGCUUACUAGUGGAGCAAUCCUCGUGGGUUCGAGUCCCACCCUCAUCAA
Baudoinia panamericana UAMH 10762 is the source of this 116-nucleotide non-coding RNA. NCBI's taxonomy places the organism in Eukaryota, Fungi, Ascomycota, Dothideomycetes, Mycosphaerellales, Teratosphaeriaceae. The record is from the annotation of a RefSeq genome assembly.